AUGAGAAAUCUUCUGUAUCUAGUAAUCACAGCUAUCAAUGAGGAGGAGGUGCUGCAGCUGGAGGGACUUAGUUUACCUCUAACGCUUUACAAACUUGGUGUAGAAGGGCAGCUCGAGAAGACAUCGAUAUCUCAAAUUGUCUCAUAUUGGUCCCCCCUGAAUAACCUCACCUGGUUGCGGCUGCAAUUUUCCAAAAUUGACGAGGAAACGUUUUCCAGUCUAUUGAUGCUACAUGGUUUAUGUCGUCUUGAUCUUAUCAAGCCUUUUGAAGGGAAGAAGCUGCACUUCACUGCGGGAUCUUUUCCAAACCUUCGCUUACUAAACAUAUGGGAUGCACCGCAGCUGAACCAAGUUGAAAUAGAAGAUGGCGCGAUGGCAAGCCUUGCUGAAUUCAGGUUGCAAGUCUGUCCUGAACUGAAGUUUCUUCCUCGUGGUGUUGAGCAUCUUACAGCCCUUGAAGAAUUAUAUCUCAAUGACACAUCAGAAGAACUCAUAGAGAAGCUUCGGCAAAAGAGAGAAGCAAAUGAAUGCAGUGAUGAUCUAACUAAGAUUAGACACAUAAGAAGAGUUACUGUUGUACUAACCAAGAAGGGCUUACAGGAAAGGAUUCGGUGA
This 615-nucleotide ribosomal RNA is filed under the name Triticum aestivum (bread wheat). Its description in RNAcentral is "partial small subunit ribosomal RNA". The record is from RNAcentral. Lineage: Eukaryota; Viridiplantae; Streptophyta; Magnoliopsida; Poales; Poaceae.